GGUGUUCAGGCUUGGCAUGGAAGGCAAAGGCAACGGGCUACUCGUGCUGAGAAACUGAGGUUACAAGCACUGAAAGCUGAUGAUCAAGAAGCUUACAUGAAGAUGGUGGAGGAAAGCAAGAACGAAAGGUUGACAAUGCUUCUAGGGAAAACAAAUGACCUCCUGGGUCGUUUGGGAGCUGCUGUUCAACGGCAGAAAGAUGCUGAUCAUGAUGGCCUUGAAUCUUUGGAAGGUUCAGAUGCUGAAAUGGCUGCUACUAAGACUGAUACUCCUGGGCAGUCGCUUCCUGAGGAAGAAGAGGAUGUAAUUGAUGAUGAGUCCACUCAUGAUGUGAAGACUAAUGACUUACUUGAAGGUCAAAGGAAGUACAAUUCAGCUGUACAUUCGAUCCAGGAGAAGGUUACGGAGCAACCAGCUAUGCUUCAGGGUGGAGAACUGAGAUCUUACCAG
This 450-nucleotide unclassified non-coding RNA is filed under the name Hevea brasiliensis (rubber tree). The record is from RNAcentral. Lineage: Eukaryota; Viridiplantae; Streptophyta; Magnoliopsida; Malpighiales; Euphorbiaceae.